This 74-nucleotide transfer RNA is filed under the name Prevotella sp. Its description in RNAcentral is "tRNA-Met". It matches the Rfam family "tRNA". From Rfam's summary of the family: Transfer RNA (tRNA) molecules are approximately 80 nucleotides in length. The record is from RNAcentral. Lineage: Bacteria; Pseudomonadati; Bacteroidota; Bacteroidia; Bacteroidales; Prevotellaceae.
GGCGGGAUAGCUCAGUUGGUUAGAGCGUCGGAUUCAUAAUCCGGAGGUCGGGGGAUCGUGGCCCCCUCCCGCUA